Molecule: ribosomal RNA, 253 nt
Filed under: uncultured bacterium
Lineage: Bacteria
Description: partial 16S ribosomal RNA
Rfam family: Bacterial small subunit ribosomal RNA
Source: RNAcentral
UACGAAGGGGGCUAGCGUUGUUCGGAAUUACUGGGCGUAAAGGGCGCGUAGGCGGCCCCUUUUGUCGCGUGUGAAAGCCCCGGGCUCAACCUGGGAGGUGCGCGCGAAACGGGGGGGCUUGAGUUCGGGAGAGGAGCGUGGAAUUCCCAGUGUAGAGGUGAAAUUCGUAGAUAUUCGGCGGAACACCAGUGGCGAAGGCGACUCACUGGCCCGAUACUGACGCUGAGGCGCGAAAGCGUGGGGAGCAAACAGG